GAUGAAGAACGUAGUGAAAUGCGAUAAGUAGUGUGAAUUGCAGAAUUCAGUGAAUCAUCGAAUCUUUGAACGCACAUUGCGCCCCUUGGUAUUCCAUGGGGCAUGCCUGUUCGAGCGUCAUUUGUACACUCAAGCUUUGCUUGGUGUUGGGUGUUUGUCCCGCGUUGCGCGUGGACUCGCCUUAAAGCGAUUGGCAGCCGGCAUAUUGGCCUUGGAGCGCAGCACAUUUUGCGCUUCUAGUCAUGAAUGUUGGCGUCCAUUAAGCCUAUACAUUUGCUCUUGACCUCGGAUCAGGUAGGGAUACCCGCUGAACUUAAGCAUAUCAAUAAGCGGAGGA
This 337-nucleotide unclassified non-coding RNA is filed under the name soil metagenome. RNAcentral's name for it is "partial contains 5.8S ribosomal RNA, internal transcribed spacer 2, and large subunit ribosomal RNA". The stretch from base 1 to 120 matches the Rfam family "5.8S ribosomal RNA", at positions 35 to 154 of the family's 154-position model. The record is from RNAcentral.